GUGCAAAAAUGAGCUCCUGAAUGAAUUCCGAUUGCACCACUCACAUCCGAUGAGCAUGACACAAAUGGAAAAGAUCUUCUCGGAGUUGGUGUUGGGGGAGACGUUGCCAAAGCCCACGCUGGUCAGACUGCUGAAGGUCCAGUGAAGAAGACUAAAAUCAUCAUUUGAGCCAAGUCCUUUGACAUAUCCCGAUCCGAAGAUGAGCAGGUCAAAGGGGAUGGCGGCCACCAUGUCUAUGAGAAACCAGCCUUUAAAGUAGUGGAUGGCUAUCUUGCCCGGAU
Molecule: long non-coding RNA, 281 nt
Organism: Syngnathoides biaculeatus (alligator pipefish)
Lineage: Eukaryota; Metazoa; Chordata; Actinopteri; Syngnathiformes; Syngnathidae
Exons: 3
Source: RefSeq, a predicted model, not a curated record